Cuculus canorus (common cuckoo) is the source of this 313-nucleotide long non-coding RNA. RefSeq lists it as uncharacterized. NCBI's taxonomy places the organism in Eukaryota, Metazoa, Chordata, Aves, Cuculiformes, Cuculidae. The record is from RefSeq and is a predicted model, not a curated record. The transcript has 3 exons.
CUUCUGUGUCCUGCCACAGUUGGUACUGAUUUGACUGUCUCUGCGGAGAAGCCAAGGAUCAAAUGCUCCAUGGCGCCAGACUGUUUUCUUUUGCAGCUCGCAGGUCACCAGGAUACUUAAGAAGUUUGCGUUAAUUAUACCACGUUUGCCAUCAAAGAGGGGAUAUUAACCCUUUCAAGCUGUUGCAGGAAAGCGGUGGAGUCAUUUGGAAGAACUGCUGAAGACCCCAGUCAGAAGAAACACGCUCCUACGGUCGCGGAGGCUGCAGCCCCCGUCCUGACAAGAUGAUGGAUUAUGGCCCCAAUUCUGCGAG